This 635-nucleotide ribosomal RNA is filed under the name Ophiotaenia gallardi. Its description in RNAcentral is "partial 16S ribosomal RNA". The stretch from base 257 to 416 matches the Rfam family "Archaeal large subunit ribosomal RNA", at positions 1884 to 2089 of the family's 2987-position model. Lineage: Eukaryota; Metazoa; Platyhelminthes; Cestoda; Proteocephalidea; Proteocephalidae. The record is from RNAcentral.
AAAAUUAAACGUCAGAAUUGAUAGCUGUUUAACAACUUUAGACUUUAAAUUAUUUGUACGGUUAAAAUAUCUUACAAACUAGUAUAUUUGCUGUUUAUGUAUUUACGAUAGGGUUAAAAGUACCCAAUUGUUAUAAUAUUGUUUAAAAUUUAAGUUGCUUUAGCAUAAAAUUACUUUCAAUGGUUGUUUAAUAUAAUAUAUUGAAAUUAAGAAUAUCUGAAUAAGUAAUAAAAUCAAAGUAGUUAUUUCUCAAGUACUACCCGUCUGUUUAUUAAAAACAUUUCUAUAUAAAAACUUUUAUAGUAGAGCCUGCUCAAUGCAUGAUUUGUAAAUAGCCGCAGUAUUUUGACUGUGCAAAGGUAGCAUAAUUAAUUGCCUUAUAAUUGAAGGCUUGUUUGAAUGGUUUGACGUGGUAGCUAUGAAUAUUUAUUUUUUUUUUGAAAUUGAUUUGGAGGGCACAGAAUCCUCCAAUGUUAAUUAGACGGAAAGACCCCAGGAUCUUUUGUUUUUGUCUGGGGCAGAUGAAAAUUUUUUAUUUUUAUUUUGACCCUCAAUGGUUUAAUGAGUUAAGUUACCCUGGGGAUAACAGUGUAAUAGUUUAUUAGAGAUCAUAUCGAGUAAAUUGUUUGCUACCU